Long non-coding RNA from Gorilla gorilla gorilla (western lowland gorilla), 198 nucleotides. RefSeq lists it as uncharacterized. The transcript is spliced from 2 exons. The record is from RefSeq and is a predicted model, not a curated record. NCBI's taxonomy places the organism in Eukaryota, Metazoa, Chordata, Mammalia, Primates, Hominidae.
CAAGGCUCUCUGACUGACUCCUUCUCGGCUUAGCGGCUGAAGACUGAUGCUGCCCGAUCGCCUCGGAAGCCCCGUAGACCAUCACGGAUGCCGAGCUUCCGGUAACUCUCACAGUGGAAGACUCAGCCCGCCUGCACCCAGGUGAAAUAAACAGCCAUGUUGCUCAAAAAAAAAAAAAAAAAAAAAAAAAAAAAAGAA